CUUAAAAAAUGUUCACCAAUUUCUUUGUGCAUUUGAACUAUUCAUUUUCAGUAAUGAAGAAGUUUUUUUAAAUUGUCAAAUGUCAAAAGAUGGUGAUUUCCAAAUUGACAGCAUCAUAACAAGCGAAGUGUUCUGCAUUAAGCUUCAUUCAAAGAUCGUAAAAUUAUAUCCAAAUCCAGUUUAGAAAUGAUUCUUCAUUCUUCAAAUAAUAAUUUUGUAUGCAUAAAGAUUUUGUAUAAAAGGAGAAAGAUUAUUUGAUAAUGUCAUCAGUCGAUUUUUGUUAAACAAUCAACAAUCACUUAAAACAUCAACAUGAAGUUCUUCAUCUUUUUUGCCUUGUUCAUUGUUGCCGUUAGUGCUGGAAGUCUUCCCAUUAUUGCCAGUUCAAGUUAUGGUGCAGCUAGACCAGCCCUUAUUACUACAUCAGUAGUAAGGCCUGUAGCUGUGGUUAAAACUGUCAAUGUUGCCCCAGUUGGAGUUAAACUUCUUUAAAAUUUAAAAUUUAAGUCUUUUUAAAACUGCAAAUGAAAAAAAUUGACCAGCAAAAAUUGUACUUAUAACAAUAUUAGAACAAAAAUAAAUGUAUUUUAAGUUAUCAGCAUUCUAAAAA
This is a long non-coding RNA of Eupeodes corollae, 610 nucleotides long. RefSeq lists it as uncharacterized. The record is from RefSeq and is a predicted model, not a curated record. Lineage: Eukaryota; Metazoa; Arthropoda; Insecta; Diptera; Syrphidae. The transcript has 2 exons.